UUAAAUGAUGAUAACAGUUACAUUGCUCGAAGGUCUAGUAUCGAUGUGAGCAAUACGAUUUCUCAAUAGACUACAACGGUAUCUGAUC
Molecule: small nucleolar RNA, 88 nt
Filed under: Maudiozyma saulgeensis
Lineage: Eukaryota; Fungi; Ascomycota; Saccharomycetes; Saccharomycetales; Saccharomycetaceae
Description: Kazachstania saulgeensis Small nucleolar RNA snR79
Rfam family: Small nucleolar RNA snR79
Source: Rfam by way of RNAcentral